Long non-coding RNA from Osmerus eperlanus (European smelt), 938 nucleotides. RefSeq lists it as uncharacterized. Lineage: Eukaryota; Metazoa; Chordata; Actinopteri; Osmeriformes; Osmeridae. The transcript has 2 exons. The record is from RefSeq and is a predicted model, not a curated record.
GAGACGGAGAAAGAUUGAAAGGGGCCGCGAGAGAGGUUUUAGAACAUGCACACGUUCCCUGGGGUAGGCAGCAGUUUCAAAGUCUCAUUUAAGGUCAAAGGGGUCACAGCGGGGGUCAGUAGUCGGGCGGCAGAACGCGUGGCUAGGUGUCCUCCUGUCACCGUGUGUCACUCCACAGCCAGAUGGAUGGGCGGGUGGAGGAUCGGGGUGUGCUCCUGGGUCCUGCUGCCCCUCCCCCCUCCCGUCCUGAGCUGUUCAUGUUUCAGUCGCUGCAGGGGUGGGUCAAAGGGGCCUCUGAGACAGCAAAUAGGCAGCCAAGUGGCUGGUGGCCCCUAAUAUGUCUAUAGAUGCUGAGGGAGGGGCUAAAGAUGACAGGCUGGAAGGGUCAGCAGGUGACAAUGUGUGUAGAGAGAGAGAGAGAGAGAGAGAGAGAGAGAGAGAGAGAUAAAGAUUAGAAGGGAGGUCAAAGGUUUCCUGGUGUAAGCUUUCAGUAUCAUAUGGGGGUCAUACACCUCUACUGGAAAGGGUUAACUAGGCUCUUUGAAAUGUCAUAUGUUCUAUAUGAUCUUCCCAGUAACACAAGAUCUGUCUUUGGUUUUAUCUUCUGUUAUCCUGUUGAAUUAAACGAACACACACAACAGAAUAAUACUGUUUUAUAUUGAGUACUGUUAAAGCAUUCAGUGUUUUUAUUUAACUCAGGCACAAUUGAUAUACUGUUGAAUGGUUUGGUAUGUGAUAUGAUAUUGUAUACUGAUUAUCUGAGACUGUAUGCUAUAGUUCUCGCCCUGAUGGUCAGCUUGCUCGUUCAAACCCAGAUACUAACCCCUCCCAACCCUCUUUCUUCAAUGGUGGUCUGGCAACCUCUCACUCCAUUAUGGGUUUUGUUUGUUUAGUUUUGUUGCACUUUUCUUUUUGAAUAAAAGCCAUGUUUUCCUUUA